This is a long non-coding RNA of Corvus hawaiiensis (hawaiian crow), 3076 nucleotides long. RefSeq lists it as uncharacterized. Lineage: Eukaryota; Metazoa; Chordata; Aves; Passeriformes; Corvidae. The transcript has 4 exons. The record is from RefSeq and is a predicted model, not a curated record.
UUGGCCCUGCUGGAUCAGUGGCUGGGCUCGACGAUCUGGGAGAUGUUUCCACCGGAAUUGUUCUGUGAUUCCGUCACUGAGGGGUGGGGUGGAAGCUCUGCCCAUCCUUGUAUCCCUGUCCAUCAUCCGUCCCUCCUUCCCUGUGUCCCGCACAGGCACAGAACUCCUCGUUUCCGUGAAUCCUGGAAUUGCAGAAUAUCCCAAGUUGGAAAGGGACCCACAGGAUCAUGGAUGCAACCCCAGCCUGGGCAUCCCAGACCCAAUUCCAGGCCAUGAAAAGUCUGUGGUGUCCUCGUGCAUUUGGCAGGACAAGGGCAGGUGGGAGGAAAAGGAGGUUUUUUUGUUUGUUCUUUCCCAUUUCUCAGAUCCUGAGGUGGGCUUUAGGUACAAAAAAGACCUUUUGCAAAUUUCUGCUGUGAUUUGGACGUUUUUCAGGCCUGGGGACCUUUUGUGAGUCCAGAGCAGAGCCCAAAUCUGGCCAAGGAUGGCUGAGCGAGACUUAACGAUGUCGCUUGAGUAAUUAGACAAAAAAAGCUCCUUACCAGGCACAGGGAGGGUUGGGAAGGGCGGAGCUGAUGGGGUUGUUAAUCCCAUAAACCAGGGAAAAUCCAGGCAAUAACUCCUGUGGGAGCAGCCUGUAAAACGCUGGGAGAGCAGCACUGCUCCCAAUCCGUCAUUUUUAGUGCCAGAAUUCCCUGCUGGAUUCGUUUGCCCCUCUCCAGGGGGGAUUUGCUGAGGGGUCACCCCUGGCUCCACACUUUUGCCACCUCAGCUGGGGCCGGAGCCUGGAGUGCGGCUGAGGAUCCCCAAAUGAAAUCAAGGGGGAAAGACAUUGGAGAAAAAUGAUCCCAAAACUACGAUAAGAAGAAAGAACGCCAAAUUCCCUCAUUCUUGGGAAGUUGGUGCUCUGAGGACUCCAAAUCCUGCUUCCUCCUCUACUUGGGGAUGAGGGAUUCGUCUCACCCAGCUUUGGGUCCCUGCAAUUUUCCCAGAGCUGGAAGAUCAGAGGUGACUCUCCCACCUGGGAUUCAUCUGUGGGAUUUCAGGUGGCCAAGCCGGGGUGAGGGGACUGAGGAAGCCUGGACAGGUAAAAUGUCAGUGUCCAGCCAGGGGAAAUGUUUGGGAAUCUUGGUGUCUUCCCAGUGAAUGUCCUGGCUCAGCCAGGGAUUUUUCCAGUCUCCCCUUUCCCAGCCCGGAGUCGAUCAGCCAAGUUCAUCCCUCCUUAUCUUUUUUCACUGCCAUGGAAUUGGGCUGGGCCAGGCCAUGAGGCACUUCCAGGAGAUUCCUCCCAUCCCAAGGCAUGGUCACUUCCAUGGGAGGACAGAUCCUGCCCCUCUGAGCCCUCGAUCUUGGGAGGAGAGGCCUCCGUCUCCGAGAGUCCCAGGGAAUCCCAAAGAGCCAUCCUGGAGCAGACGCCUCGUUUAUGGAUGCCCACAGAUGUUGUCCCAUUCCAGGUGACGUCAUUCAGAUGAUGAUGGCAGACACUGGAAGCAUUUUCAGGGAGCUGCCGACGGAUUCCAGAAGGGAUUUGGAACCCAACCCUGAGGUCUCUGGUCAUUCCGUGACCCCAGGAAUGGGGUCAUUCCAACAGUGUCCAGGGAGGAUGUGUGACAUCCCUGAGGACAGCAGCACCUGGAUCUGUCCCUCAGCAUCCCAGCAAGGUGCCAUCAUCACGUUGCCUCGGAGCAGCUUCUCUGUGGGCGCCACUGGGAUUUGUGCCAGGGAGGUCAGGGAAGGGAGGUGACUUUCAUCAUCUCUCCCAGGUUUUCCACAGAGCUUCCAUGCAGGAUUGCAUCCCCCGGAGAAAUCAAUCCCACUGGAUCCCUCUUCCUACCUGCUUGGGGGUGAAUUAUUCCAGAGCUGGAGUGGCUUUUCUCCAGGAAGAAGUGGAAAUCAAAACCAUCCAGGAGCAUCAAUCCGCAGCUCCUUCCCAAAGGAUGGCUCCAAAGGUGUGGCCCUCCGGCACCUUCCCAGAGGAGCUGGAAUAUUUAGAGCCAGUCAGGAACAUCUGAGCGAGCCCCAGCACGGCUCUUCUGAACUCCGGGGUGGGAACCACCGAUUUUGGGGGUCCUUGACUCCCAAAAUGAAGGAUUUGGGGAGGGAAAAGUCCUUUCAUAAAUCAACCGUGGAGAACAAAGGGAGGGAACAUGGAAAGCAGAGGGGACGUCCCGGUUUCUCGAGGAGCAGAAGGAGAGGGAUGGGGAAGGCAGCGUCGUUAAAGUGAAAUCCCGACUGGAACGACAAAAGGAAAAGAAAUUAAAGCCAGAUUUGUUCCCCUGGGCCGGAGGAAGGAGGAUCCCGUUGGAUUUGUUCCUCCUUUCUUGUUUCCUUCAAAGCCAGGAGAUCAAUUGCGGGCCUUAAUGAGAACCGUCUCGUGCCAGAGGUGGACAAUGGAGCGGGACAGGGACAUGCUGGGGAUUUUACGGCAGCUCGGAGCAUUGGGAUCCAUCCCGGGAAGUGCCAGCCCAUCCCUGGAAGUGCCAGCCCAUCCUCUCCGGGCUUUGAGAACUAAACUCUGGGAGAGGAGCAGGAAAACCUCCCUGGAACUCAGAGAUCCCUAAGGAUGAGCUGGAGGAACCUUCCCCGUGUGUUUUGGGACGUGGAGGAGCACUUGGAGCCGGCAUCACCCAGGAGUGGCAUCCUGAUUUAUUCCGUGGAUUUCCACGCGGCCGCUGCGUUUCCUUGGGACCACGCGGUCCCCGUGAGCAGUUUGGAAGAUGCAGAGUUGUUCUGAUGGAAAGGGGAUUUUGGGAAGGAAUGGAGCUGUGGUGCUUUCCGCUUCAUUCCACAUCCUCAAGGGAAGUGGAAAACUCCCCCAAACUUCCCCAAAUUUCCCAAAACCAGGAAAAAACGGUUCUGAAAACUGCUGUUUUCUUCCUCUUCCCCAAAUCUUCCCUCCAUCACAAACUUCCCUCUCUUUUUCUGGGAACAGAGAAGAAAAUCCCUUCUUGCUUUGAUAAAAAUCCUGCAUAUUCCACAUGGAACGAGCUCCCAUCCUUUCCCAAUCCCGCUUUUCUGGGCCACCUCAGGGUGACAUCCUUGGUCCAGGGCCUCAUCCCAGAGGUUUUCCCCUGUU